CUAUCUCCCAUAAUGCUUAGC
RNAcentral lists this microRNA (21 nucleotides) under Anolis carolinensis (green anole). Its description in RNAcentral is "aca-miR-5408a-5p". The record is from miRBase by way of RNAcentral. Lineage: Eukaryota; Metazoa; Chordata; Lepidosauria; Squamata; Anolidae.